AACGCGAAGACCCUUACCUACUCUUGACAUCCAGAGAACUUAGCAGAGAUGCUUUGGUGCCUUCGGGAACUCUGAGACAGGUGCUGCAUGGCUGUCGUCAGCUCGUGUUGUGAAAUGUUGGGUUAAGUCCCGCAACGAGCGCAACCCUUAUCCUUUGUUGCCAGCGGUCCGGCCGGGAACUCAAAGGAGACUGCCAGUGAUAAACUGGAGGAAGGUGGGGAUGACGUCAAGUCAUCAUGGCCCUUACGAGUAGGGCUACACACGUGCUACAAUGGCGCAUACAAAGAGAAGCGAACUCGCGAGAGCAAGCGGACCUCAUAAAGUGCGUCGUAGUCCGGAUUGGAGUCUGCAACUCGACUCCAUGAAGUCGGAAUCGCUAGUAAUCGUAGAUCAGAAUGCUACGGUGAAUACGUUCCCGGGCCUUGUACACACCG
This 434-nucleotide ribosomal RNA is filed under the name Enterobacter cancerogenus. RNAcentral's name for it is "bacterial SSU rRNA". It matches the Rfam family "Bacterial small subunit ribosomal RNA", at positions 958 to 1392 of the family's 1533-position model. Lineage: Bacteria; Pseudomonadati; Pseudomonadota; Gammaproteobacteria; Enterobacterales; Enterobacteriaceae. The record is from RNAcentral.